GUGGGGAAUAUUGGACAAUGGGGGCAACCCUGAUCCAGCGACGCCGCGUGUGUGAAGAAGGCCUGCGGGUUGUAAAGCACUUUUAGUGGGGACAAAAAGCCGAGGGCUAAUACCUUUCGGUCUUGAUUUAACCCAAAGAAAAAGCACCGGCUAACUCUGUGCCAGCAGCCGCGGUAAUACAGAGGGUGCGAGCGUUAAUCGGAAUUACUGGGCGUAAAGCGUGCGUAGACGGUUAUGUAAGUCGGAUGUGAAAGCCCCGGGCUCAACCUGGGAAUUGCAUUCGAAACUGCAUGGCUAGGGUGCGGAAGAGGGAAGCGGAAUUUCUGGUGUAGCGGUGAAAUGCGUAGAUAUCAGAAGGAACAUCAGUGGCGAAAGCGGCUUCCUGGUCCAGCACCGACGUUCAGGCACGAAAGCGUGGGGAGCAAACAGGAUUAGAAACCCCAGUAGUCC
Molecule: ribosomal RNA, 450 nt
Filed under: uncultured bacterium
Lineage: Bacteria
Description: bacterial SSU rRNA
Rfam family: Bacterial small subunit ribosomal RNA
Source: RNAcentral